CAGGGAAGGAGGGGGGUUAGGGGCGUCGACCAUCCGGUGUGACAAACUUCAAGGCCCACAUUGUCUCUUUCUUCUGUCGUUCGUGAUGGGUAGCAACGCAGAAUUUUUCUCUCUGGAGGUCCUCGUGUUCCUGGGGAGCUCAGAGAACAAAGUUGUCUUAUCACAGCUGGGAGAUAGCCGUAAGCAAGAGUCGUAGAACUAGCAGAUCAAGCAUUUUGUAAAAGCGAGAGGUGCUUAAUCACCCAGUUACAUGCAGGCUAGAAUAUAUUCACAGAGACUGGUGAGUCAGGGUCAUAGUUACAAUAUUGCUUCCUUUCCCUAAGAUGGCUUGCCUCGUGUUAACUUAAGAUCCAGCGGUUACAUUGAUGCAAGGCCCUACUGUUCUCUUGGUUGAUAAAAUUAUUUGCUAUAGGAGAUGAUUGUUUAGCAACUUAGGAGAAGCUUUAGAAAAUUCUCGCUGAAUGUCCAGAGAGCUUUGACCCUUGGAAAUCUGAUUGGUCACCACUGUCAGCGACAAUAUUUGCCUCCUUUCAUCCCCCUGCACAUUUUCUUUCUCAGCUAAUAUGGUAAACAGCACUGAUCUCUACUCAUGAAUGACUGGGCAUAUCAGGCAAGACCCAACCUUCCUGAAAGUCUUUCUUCCUAUUCUAAAAGAAGAAAGAAUUCCCAGGGUUCAUAGAUUUCUGCCUCUUUCCUGGGUACGACUUUAUCUACACAGGUAGAUAAAGCACUAGUGUCCUUUUGGUUAGUGAUAAAUUGCUUUGCUGCUGUGAGAGGCUGCCCUCAACUAUAGUAAAUUCUCCUCCCCUUUCUACCCUAUGUCCCUUGGUCUGGAUCAUGGGGAAAGGGGGACUUCAUAAAAUGAUGCUUGAGACCAUCCUACUUUGGCCACAUCAGGGAAUGAACAGAAUGGGGAGGGAAGUCUCCACCACUGAGGUUUGAUGAAUUUAUAGCUGGGAGAUUACUUAUAUUGUAGGAAAAGUGAAAACUUGAAAUCUGAACUGGGAAAAGAGCAGAGCUUUGCAAGAAUGUGAUAUUCAGGGACAUGUUUUUGCAACCACCUCUUAGUCGCAUAAUCAACCUUCGGCAGAAAGCAGAGAAGAACAAUAGAAAGGAAUCAAUGGAAAAAUCCCAGGGGAUGAUGGGCAAGGGAAAAUCUCAAUAAAAGCAACAAAGAGUGCCUGUACGGGGUUUUACAAACCUGAGUUUUCCUUUUUGUCUUGGGAGAAAGGGAUUAUAAAAUAAAACUGUUAGAGACAAAUUGUAUCAUGAGUGAGGAGGAUAGGAGGGAAGCAGGGAGAGAGAGAAAGAAGGGUUUUUAUUUUUUAAGUUCUGGAAAAAUCUUUAAACAAAAACUCAAAAGUAUUAAAUAAGAGAUAGAUGUUGGAACCACUCGAGUGCACCAUGAACUAUAUUCCUGAAAUCAAAUUAAAAAUGUCCAGAAACAGAAGGAUCCACCAGGUGCCCAGAGAUUAAUUCUGAUUUGGGGGGGUGUGGGCAUCAGGUUUCUCGUUUGUCUGUUUCAGGCCACUGCUAAGGCCUGUACAAUUCUGGUGCAGGACAUUCUCUAGCUAGUUGCUGUGACAGCUUGUGAAGUGCCACCACCAAGCUCUGCAGGGACUUCAACCAGAGCCUCCCAGAAGUUCCCCUCUGAUUUGGGUGGGGGGUUGUGAGGCUGGCCGGCUGCGGCACCUAGGCAUCGCAUCCUCAGUGUCGUGUCUCUUCCACCUUCCCUUCCACAGUGCCUGGCUUCCUUCCAUGGCAGCUCCGAGGGGAUACAUAUGAUGUUUUACAAAAGUCUUCACACUUCAGGAGUGGUCUUCAAGGUCCAUAUGGGACUAUUUAAUCACUGAACAAAGCUGCCAGACUCUCCUUCGGGGGAACGACCCUAUUCCGUGGCACACAGUCUUGAUGAAACUGUCAAUCAGGGAGGGGGCGAGAUCUGAGACCCAAGCUUAGCCAAUCAGAUUCUUCUGGGGAUCUGAAUCACGAGUGGAAUUAACAUCAGGUCAGAGAAAAAAUGCACGUCCAGUGAGGCACCGCUAAUUCCUGCUUCUUGGAGUAGCAUACUGAGAAGGUGUAGCCUUUGGAGUAUGGGCUGUGGGGCCAGAUUGUUUGGGUUAGAAACACACUUUCUAUAUAAGACCUGAAGCAAGCUAGUUAACCUCAUGCCUCGGUUUCCUCAGAUUGUGAAAGGGGAUAAUAGUACUUCUCUCAUAGGGUUGUUGUUCACAUCGCAUAAAUCAGUGCAUGGGUCUCAGCAGGAACACUUGUGAGGACACAGGAACCACUCUGAGUAUUUGAAGCAGAAAAGGAAUUUGAUGCAUGGAUUAGGAACAUAAAAAUCAGUGAAAGGCUGGAGAAGCAGGCUCCAGGCUGCAGGACUGGCUUCUGGAACACACUUCCAAACUGGCCUGCCAGGGGCACUGUCUCUUCUGCCACCAUCAGGAAAGUGGACCAGUAGUGGACCAUCACAGGGACUUCAAGAACACAGUGCCACAGCUGUGACCCAGGGAGCAGGAAGGCACUUGGCUGCUCCUGUGACCACCUCUCGUCACUCAAGAAGCUGAGGACUGGACAGUGGACGGUACUCUAUCCAAGAGCAUCAAGAUCACCAAGGUUCAAUUUUUAAGGUUGAAACGUUGGCUGCUAGUAAAAGUGCUAAUAUUCAUAAGCAAGCGAUGCAACUUGUAACUGAAGGAUCUAAAUCUGAGGACCCUGUCAGCUCUAUAAUUUCAUAAUUCCCAAGUCACAUGCAAAAAUCAGUUUAAUUAACUUGUAAUUAUGCUUCUUAUCUUCUGCAUUGGCAAAGAGGGAGAGGAUAGUCAUUCAUGGGCCCUCCAGCAGCACAGAAGCAUUUAUUACUUGCAUCUUCCUAACUUCCUUGAAAUGUAGUUUUAAUACCAUAAUUCACUUUUGUAAUAGUGGCCUGGUGACUUGGGCAGUGCAAUCACAUAUGCUGUUGAGACUUCGACGGAGCCAAAGGAGAGGCAUCUGGACUGCAGCAACAUGAGUCUGACCGGGAGGAGAGAAGGAGGAUGAGGAAGCUAAUCCUGAUAGAGAUCCCACAGUCAGGUGUCCGCUGUGGGAGAGAGUAGGGGAACUCACCUGCC
Long non-coding RNA from Equus caballus (horse), 3113 nucleotides. The record is from Ensembl. Lineage: Eukaryota; Metazoa; Chordata; Mammalia; Perissodactyla; Equidae.